Molecule: unclassified non-coding RNA, 402 nt
Filed under: Prostanthera teretifolia
Lineage: Eukaryota; Viridiplantae; Streptophyta; Magnoliopsida; Lamiales; Lamiaceae
Description: partial external transcribed spacer
Source: RNAcentral
ACCAGGUAGCAUUCCUCACCGACGUCGAUCGGCGUGUUGCAAUCCGUAAGGAAUCCAGCACAACCGACACGAACGUCGUUCGCACGUAGCGUUGAACGCUUUGUUCCGAGGGGCAAAUAGAGGCCGAGGCCUCGUGCCCACAACAUGUUCCGCAUCCGAGAUUUCGAGCAUUGCGCCUUGGGUGGCUACACGAGCGCAUGCGAACACGCACACGAAUGCCAACCACGACGCAUGCUACGAGUUCCAAUCCGCACCGCAACACCGGUGGGUGACGCGGAGAAGAAUGGAAAAGGACGAUUUUGCCGACGUAAUGCCUUACAGAUAGGUAUCAAGCACAGGAGGCCGCAAUCGAACAGGGCUCGGUAGCCCUUGUGUCGAUGAUUGAAGAGACGCGGUUGGGAU